AUUCGACUAAGCCCUGCGAUUCGCGAGGGUUCGGCCCUCGGCUGACGGCUCAGUAACACGCGGAUAAUCUGCCCUUAGGUGGAGGAUAAUCUCGGGAAACUGAGAAUAAUAUUCCAUAGAUUUAGGAUGCUGGAAUGCACUUAAAUUAAAAGCUUCGGCGCCUAAGGAUGAGUCUGCGGACUAUCAGGUUGUAGUCAGGGUAACGACCUGACUAGCCUACGACGGAUACGGGUUGUGAGAGCAAUAACCCGGAGAUGAUAUCUGAGACACGAUAUCAGGCCCUACGGGGCGCAGCAGGCGCGAAAACUUCGCAAUGUGCGAAAGCACGACGAGGGAAUCCCAAGUGCUGGCUCGUUAGAGUCAGCUGUUUUUAUGUCUAAAAAGCAUAGAGAGUAAGGGCUGGGUAAGACGGGUGCCAGCCGCCGCGGUAAUACCUGCAGCUCUAGUGGUGGCCGCUAUUAUUGGGCCUAAAACGUCCGUAGCCUGUUUAUUAAAUGCCUAGGUAAAUUGUGUGGCUUAACCAUACGAAUUCUGGGUAGACUGGUAAACUUGAGACCGGGAUAAGCUAGAGGUACUUCUGGGGUAGAGGUGAAAUUCUG
RNAcentral lists this ribosomal RNA (599 nucleotides) under uncultured archaeon. RNAcentral describes it as "bacterial SSU rRNA". It matches the Rfam family "Archaeal small subunit ribosomal RNA", at positions 38 to 642 of the family's 1478-position model. The record is from RNAcentral.